Myotis myotis is the source of this 2463-nucleotide long non-coding RNA. RefSeq lists it as uncharacterized. The record is from RefSeq and is a predicted model, not a curated record. The transcript has 4 exons. NCBI's taxonomy places the organism in Eukaryota, Metazoa, Chordata, Mammalia, Chiroptera, Vespertilionidae.
GCACGGCAUUGAUGAAUCUCACAAAUAUAAUGUGGAAUGAAAGAAGCUAGUUACAAAGAGAACACAUAUUGUCUGAUUCCAUUUAUUCAAAGUUCAAAAACGAGCAAAUUUCAUCUAUGGUGCUACAAGUCAGGAUAGUGGUCCCUUUAAAAAGCAAGAAGGAGGUAGCUGUGGGAAGGGCCAUGAGGUGGGCCCUGAAUGCUGGUACUUUUCUAUUUCUUGACCUGGGUUGUGGUUACUUUGGGUGGUUUUCUUUGCACUAUCCACUUAGGAUUCAUGCACUUUUCUGUAGGUAUGCUCUACUGAGGAAGAAAGAUUUAUCUAAGUAAAUGAAGGCUAAUCUUUAUUUUAAUAAAUGAUAAAAUGUUUCUCCCCACCUUGUUUCUGACACACUCCCAAAUUCAGGUUCCCCACUGGAUGUGACUUUGUUGUUCUUACCAAAUGUGUUAGCCACAAUGGAAAAAAUUUAUUGGGUUUUUACGGAUUUUUUUAAAGUUUAACAUCUUCCUUGUAAGGUCAUUAAAAAACUCUAUCCUCAAAUAAAACCAUCAAACUUCACCCCUAUCCUUUUAUGGUUAAGAAAACUGAAAUGCUGAAUCUGGGAAUAACAGUCAUCUUGGGAUCAGAAAGUGAAAGUAGAUCAGAAAUUCAUGCAUUCAUUCACCUGACAAAUAUUGAUUAAGCACCUACUAUUAUUAUAGGCACUGCAAAGACAACAGUGAACAAAAAAGGUCCUAUUCCCAUGGAACUUACAUUCAGGUGAAGAUAGAAAACACACAAGUCAACAAGCAAAUGUGACGAAGAGAAACAAGGCAGGGAUGUGAGGUAGCAGGUGCCAAGAAUAAGGUUUUGUUUGUGUGGAGAGUGGUCAUGGAAGACCUCACCCAAAGGUGAGAGACCUGGAGAAGAGGGGUGGCCAUGUGGGUGCCUGGGAGGAGAAUGCUCCACACCGAGGGAGCCUGAGAAGGGAACCGUUUCUGUGUCUGAGGAACAGCCAGGAGGCCAGUGUGGCAGGCAGAGAACGAGCAAAGAAGACAGCAGAGAUCGGAGUCAGGGAUCAUUAGGGCCUCCUAGACCCAUUGUAAGGGCUGUGGCUUUGCCUCUAAAUGAGAUAGAGGCUUGUGAGUGGAAAGAGGGACAUGAUCUGAUUUAACUUUUAAGACUUAUUCAGGCUGCUGGGAGGGAAUAGAAAGAAAAGGGGAAUAGAAAGCAAAAGCAAGGAGCCCGAUCAGGAAGUUGUUAUGGGGAUACAGUUGAGAGACCAUGGUGCCUUGGACCAGUGGUGAGGAUGUUGAGAACUGGAUCUCUUUCAUGGUAGCGACAACCAAGGUUUACUGUUUGGAAGUAAGUUGUAAGACAAAGAGAGGAGUCAAGAUGUUUGACCUGAGCAAUUGGAAGAAUGGAGUUCUUGUCAACUGACAUGUGGGUGGAACAGGUGUGGUGGAAGCUUUCAAAAUACUGUUUGCACAUGUUUAGUCCAAGCCUAUUAGAUAUCCUCGUGGAGAUUACUGUAUAAGGAGGCAGUUGGAGAUAAAGAGGCUGGAGCUCAACAGAGAAGUUGGUACUGAAGAUGUAAAUUUGGGUGUUGGCUGAAGCUAAAAGACUGGGUGAGAUCACUUAGGAAAAGGAUAUAGACAGAAAGGAGAAGUCAUCCAAGGGAUGGCCCUCUGAGAUCAGCCCUGCCUUACAUCCUGCUUCCGCUGCAGAAUGAGAUCUCCUCAUGCUGGAAGAAUUGGCCCCGCGUCACCUGUGCCAGAUGGCUGAUUUGUUGCAGGUGUGAGGGUAAGUGGGACAACACCAAGUCCUGGAAAUUGGACCUCAGCGGAGACCAACCAUCCGCUGGUGAGAGAGCAGUUCUAUUGAUGUAGCCAAACUCCCCGUGCAAACACUGAUAGAAGUCAAUGGAAAGGCACCUUUCUUGGCCACCUCUCCAUGGCGUUCCCCACUGGAUAACAGGAAAACAAGACGAAGAACAGAGUGCCUGCCCCAUUGUGCGCGAGUGGAGAAAGCCCAGAAUCUGUUGGCGAUGGCUCAGCUUCAACACUUGUCUCUGUUGCCUUCCACCUGCCUUUUCUUGGGCGAGUCCCACAGUCUCUCUGAGCAUCCUCAAUUUCCAUAUCUAUAGAGAGGGGGAGUCCCAUGUCCACGAGUCUUCAGCCAACAGCCCCUGGGAGAAGGCUCACACCCAAGACUUCGUCCAUGAGUUGCAGGCCACCACUCCGCUCCAUCCACGCCUGCAGAUCUGUGCUGCUCAGGUUUUUCUCACAGCCUGUCUCUCCCCAGAACUCUGGCACUGAGACCAGAUGGGGCUGUGCUCACUGAGAUAGCCAAGUGACAUCACCACACUGGACCCAGCAUCAUCCUGCCCUUCCCACAAUAAAUGCUUUGGUAUCAGGCCAAGCUUCUCUGCUGACAUUCUCUCUCUCCUUAGGGGUCCAGUCCCAGCUCUGCUGCUGACUUGCU